GGCAAUUUUAAAACUUCCCGGCCUCAAUAUCUUAAUUAUUUAAUAUAGAGGUACCCUAAUAUACAUUUAUUCAUAAUCAUGGUUCAAAUAUACUCAUGAUCAUAUUAAAGUUGUGAAGUAAAUAAAAUAUGGACGGCCGGCCACAUUUUU
This is a long non-coding RNA of Acyrthosiphon pisum (pea aphid), 150 nucleotides long. RefSeq lists it as uncharacterized. The transcript is spliced from 2 exons. Lineage: Eukaryota; Metazoa; Arthropoda; Insecta; Hemiptera; Aphididae. The record is from RefSeq and is a predicted model, not a curated record.